Molecule: small RNA, 275 nt
Filed under: Candidatus Omnitrophota bacterium
Lineage: Bacteria; Pseudomonadati; Candidatus Omnitrophota
Description: transfer-messenger RNA
Rfam family: tRNA (bases 200-272)
Source: RNAcentral
GGGGCUGUCCUUGGCUUCCUUUGAUUAAAAAAUCGGACAGGGAAGCCAGGGACUGGCCCCGUUUUCCUCUAAAAUAAAUUUGAUCGUUUUUAGGUUAUUGGGGCUGCCCUUGGCUUCCGUUGAUUAAAAAAUCGAACAGGGAAGCCAAGGGCUAGUCCCGAUUUCCUCUAAAUAUAAAUUUUGUUCAUUAAGGAAAAUCGGGGCUGUAGCUCAGUUGGGAGAGCACUUGCAUGGCAUGCAAGGGGUCAGGGGUUCAACUCCCCUCAGCUCCACAA